GAUGAAGAACGCAGCGAAAUGCGAUAAGUAAUGUGAAUUGCAGAAUUCAGUGAAUCAUCGAGUCUUUGAACGCACAUUGCGCCCCCUGGUAUUCCGGGGGGCAUGCCUGUCCGAGCGUCAUUGCUGCCCUCAAGCACGGCUUGUGUGUUGGGCCGCCGUCCCCGGUUUCCCCCGGGGACGGGCCCGAAAGGCAGCGGCGGCACCGCGUCCGAUCCUCGAGCGUAUGGGGCUUUGUCACCCGCUCUGUAGGCCCGGCCGGCGCCAGCCGACACCCAACUUUAUUUCUAAGGUUGACCUCGGAUCAGGUAGGGAUACCCGCUGAACUUAAGCAUAUCAAUAAGCGGAUGA
This 348-nucleotide unclassified non-coding RNA is filed under the name soil metagenome. RNAcentral's name for it is "partial contains 5.8S ribosomal RNA, internal transcribed spacer 2, and large subunit ribosomal RNA". The stretch from base 1 to 120 matches the Rfam family "5.8S ribosomal RNA", at positions 35 to 154 of the family's 154-position model. The record is from RNAcentral.